AUUCAGCUGAUGAGUCACAAAUAGGACGAAACAUGUGUCUUGGAU
This 45-nucleotide non-coding RNA is filed under the name Schistosoma mansoni. Lineage: Eukaryota; Metazoa; Platyhelminthes; Trematoda; Strigeidida; Schistosomatidae. The record is from RNAcentral.